Molecule: ribosomal RNA, 701 nt
Filed under: uncultured bacterium
Lineage: Bacteria
Description: bacterial SSU rRNA
Rfam family: Bacterial small subunit ribosomal RNA
Source: RNAcentral
AAUACCGGAUAACAACACUAGACGCAUGUCUAGAGUUUAAAAGAUGGUUCUGCUAUCACUCUUGGAUGGACCUGCGGUGCAUUAGCUAGUUGGUAAGGUAACGGCUUACCAAGGCAAUGAUGCAUAGCCGAGUUGAGAGACUGAUCGGCCACAUUGGGACUGAGACACGGCCCAAACUCCUACGGGAGGCAGCAGUAGGGAAUCUUCCACAAUGGACGCAAGUCUGAUGGAGCAACGCCGCGUGAGUGAAGAAGGGUUUCGGCUCGUAAAGCUCUGUUGGUAGUGAAGAAAGAUAGAGGUAGUAACUGGCCUUUAUUUGACGGUAAUUACCUAGAAAGUCACGGCUAACUACGUGCCAGCAGCCGCGGUAAUACGUAGGUGGCAAGCGUUGUCCGGAUUUAUUGGGCGUAAAGCGAGUGCAGGCGGUUCAAUAAGUCUGAUGUGAAAGCCUUCGGCUCAACCGGAGAAUUGCAUCAGAAACUGUUGAACUUGAGUGCAGAAGAGGAGAGUGGAACUCCAUGUGUAGCGGUGGAAUGCGUAGAUAUAUGGAAGAACACCAGUGGCGAAGGCGGCUCUCUGGUCUGCAACUGACGCUGAGGCUCGAAAGCAUGGGUAGCGAACAGGAUUAGAUACCCUGGUAGUCCAUGCCGUAAACGAUGAGUGCUAAGUGUUGGGAGGUUUCCGCCUCUCAGUGCUGCAGC